GCAUAUCAAUAAGCGGAGGAAAAGAAACUAACAAGGAUUCCCCUAGUAACGGCGAGUGAAGCGGGAAGAGCUCAAAUUUAAAAUCUGGCGGUGUAUUCCGUCCGAGUUGUAGUCUAGAGAAGCAUCAUCCGUGCUGGACCAUGUACAAGUCUCUUGGAACAGAGCGUCAUAGAGGGUGAGAAUCCCGUCCUUGACAUGGACUCCCAGUACUUUGUGUUGUGCUCUCAACGAGUCGAGUUGUUUGGGAAUGCAGCUCAAAAUGGGUGGUAAAUUCCAUCUAAAGCUAAAUAUUGGCGAGAGACCGAUAGCGAACAAGUACCGUGAGGGAAAGAUGAAAAGCACUUUGGAGAGAGAGUUAAACAGUACGUGAAAUUGUUGAAAUGGAAACGCUUGAAGUCAGUCGCGUUCUCUGGGAUUCAGCCUUGCUUUUGCUUGGUGCAUUUCCUAGUCUACGGGCCAACAUGAAUUUCGACCGGUGGAAAAAGGCAGAGGGAAUGUGGCACCUCCGGGUGUGUUAUAGCCCUUUGUCAGACACGCCGGUUGGGAUUGAGGUCUUUCAAGUGCACGCUUUUAGUUGUGCUUUGAUGUUGGCGUAAUGGCUUUAAACGACCCGUCUUGAAACACGGACCAAGGAGUCUAACAUGUCUGCGAGUGUUUGGGUGAAAAACCCAUGCGCGUAAUGAAAGUGAUAAGUUGGGAACCCUUCACGGGGGGCACCGACGCCCGGACCAGACCUUCUGUGACGGAUCCGAGGUAGAGCAUAUAUGUUGGGACCCGAAAGAUGGUGAACUAUGCCUGCAUAGGGUGAAGCCAGAGGAAACUCUGGUGGAGGCUCGUAGCGAUUCUGACGUGCAAAUCGAUCGUCAAAUGUGGGUAUAGGGGCGAAAGACUAAUCGAACCAUCUAGUAGCUGGUUCCUGCGA
This 922-nucleotide ribosomal RNA is filed under the name Ceratorhiza hydrophila. RNAcentral's name for it is "partial large subunit ribosomal RNA". It matches the Rfam family "Eukaryotic large subunit ribosomal RNA", at positions 38 to 963 of the family's 3401-position model. Lineage: Eukaryota; Fungi; Basidiomycota; Agaricomycetes; Cantharellales; Ceratobasidiaceae. The record is from RNAcentral.